GUUUAAUUUUGUUGCCAACAAAUUGCUAUUACUAGAUGCAGCUGUGACUUUGCCAAUGAUUGGUCUGGCAUCUCUGGCCAUUAUUAUUUAACUAUGCAUAUAUCUAUAUAUGUUGCUUGUUAUAGUUAGUGAGAUAUUUAUUUUUGUCCCAGUGUUACCAUGUUGAUCUGUGCUGACUGUAGUGCUUGGUGGAGUGUCUCCUUGCAUGUGUACAUAUACACAGUAGUACCUUUCAUGUUACCUUGACAGGUACGGAAUAUCAAUACAAAAUUACCAGAUCUCAAUACAUAGAAAAGACAAAAUUGGUUAUUGUCCUUUGAAUAUUUUCAGCCCCCUUUUAACACUCUCAAUGGAUAUGAGGGAUUACCAUGUAUAUAGCUUAAAAUCUGCAAUAUUUUAGCUUUUUCACUGUGAUUGUUGUUAAUAAUUGUAUAUAGGGAUGCAUUUCUAGAUGGCGACAAUAUCACCAGCUUCAAAGUGACAGUUCAAUGCAUUGUCUGAUCAGCUACAGUUUGACAUUUCAAUGCAUUGUCCUGUUGGUUACAGUUUUACAUUUCAAUCCAUUCUCUGAUCAGCUACAGUUUGACAGUUUCAAUGCAUUGUCCCAUCAGCUACUAUUUGACAGUUUCAAUGCAUUGUCCCAUCAGCUACAGUUUGACAGUUUCAAUGCAUUCUCUGAUCAGCUACAGUUUGACAGUUCAGUGCAUUGUUCCAUCAGCUACAGUUUGACAGUUUCAAUGCAUUGUCCCAUCAGCUACAGUUUGACAGUUUCAAUGCAUUCUCUGAUCAGCUACAGUUUGACAGUUUCAAUGCAUUGUCUGAUCAGCUACAGUUUGACAGUUCAAUGCAUUGUCCCAUCAGCUACAGUUUGACAGUUUCAAUGCAUUGUCAGAUCAGCUACAGUUUGACAGUUUCAACGCAUUCUCUAAUCA
This is a long non-coding RNA of Haliotis rubra (blacklip abalone), 932 nucleotides long. RefSeq lists it as uncharacterized. The transcript has 3 exons. The record is from RefSeq and is a predicted model, not a curated record. NCBI's taxonomy places the organism in Eukaryota, Metazoa, Mollusca, Gastropoda, Lepetellida, Haliotidae.